GAGUUUGAUCGUGGCUCAGGGCGAACGCUGGCGGCGUGCCUAACACAUGCAAGUCGAACGAGGCCAUCCUUUCGGGGAUGAGUCGAGUGGCGGACGGGUGAGUAACACGUAAGCAAUCUAUCCUGUUGCGGGGGACAACGAGGGGAAACUCUCGCUAAUACCGCAUGGACAAGAGAUCCGAUGGGUCUUUUGGGAAACGUGGCCUCUUUACAAUGCUACGGUGGCAGGAGGAGCUUGCGGGCUAUCAGCUAGUUGGUGAGGUAAUGGCUCACCAAGGCAGCGACGGCUACGGGGUCUGAGAGGACGACCCGCACAUUGGAACUGAGACACGGUCCAGACUCCUACGGGAGGCAGCAGUGGGGAAUAUUGGGCAAUGGCCGAAAGGCUGACCCAGCGACGCCGCGUGCGGGAGGAAGCCCUUCGGGGUGUAAACCGCUGUCGGGAGGGACG
RNAcentral lists this ribosomal RNA (450 nucleotides) under uncultured Aquificia bacterium. Its description in RNAcentral is "bacterial SSU rRNA". It matches the Rfam family "Bacterial small subunit ribosomal RNA", at positions 9 to 447 of the family's 1533-position model. The record is from RNAcentral. Lineage: Bacteria; Pseudomonadati; Aquificota; Aquificia.